Non-coding RNA from Kogia breviceps (pygmy sperm whale), 959 nucleotides. The record is from RefSeq and is a predicted model, not a curated record. NCBI's taxonomy places the organism in Eukaryota, Metazoa, Chordata, Mammalia, Artiodactyla, Physeteridae.
CUCUGCCCUGGAGGGCACUUUCCAGCCUAUGCAUUAUGUCUCCACUCUCCUCUGCUUGAGAGGUGGCGUCCCAUCUUCAGGACUGGUCCCACAGCUCCUUCAGGCCCAGGUCUGGCCCCUGCCUCACAGACCUCUGUGCUGGGGACUGCCUCAGUGUCCUCAUCUAUUUCAGCUUCCCACCUGGGAAGGAAGACUUGAGCGACCACCCAGAAUGGCUGGCAGCCUCCCAGCCCACUCACCAUGGACCCUCCACCUUUAUCUCAUAGUGCCUGAAGCCACAGUGAUGUCCUUGAGCAGUUAGACGACAGAACAGGCAUUGGAGCUGGCAUGUGGUAGGUACACAGUUCAUAUCUGGAGAGAAAGGCUUUCCUUAUGAGCCUUAUUUUGUUAGCCCAGCAGCAGCAACUCUGCACCAAGUUCCUAAAUGCCUGCAAUGGCAUUUGAGCCUCAGAGCCAGGCUUGGACUGAGGUGCAUGCAUGUGAGAUGUGUCUGCUUGACGCUGUCCUUUAUUUACUACUUUUUACUUGUCACUCACUGCAGGAAGCACUUUACAGGUGUAAUGGGGACAAGAGUUUUGAAUUGUAUCAUUGUGAUUUUUUUUUCUCUCUUGCAUUCCCUUGGAUAUGAACUGCCAAAGACAUUUUUUGCCUUGGUCCUGCUGCUGGAAUGCAAAGCUUUAAGUCCAGCCCGGAGCUGAGAGCCAGCAGGUAGAAAGGAAAAAGGAUUUUGUAAAUUUCUUUAGUUCCCAGGCCAGGUCGAGAAGUUCAGAAGUCUUCAAACAAGCUAAGUUUGAUAAGGUGGUGGAUAAAAGACUUUAAAGCCUAAAACUAUAUUGCCUUAUGGUGAAGAUAUACAGAGGAUGUGGAAUGGAAACAUGAAUUCAAGGAGAAGAAGGAAAAAAUGUAAAAUUUCCAAAUGUUGAAGAAGAGCUUGUUCAUGGAUUUAAACAACUGAUGAU